RNA transcript from Canis lupus familiaris (dog), 1651 nucleotides. It is a transcript of the gene named TBC1 domain family member 7, with no coding region annotated. NCBI's taxonomy places the organism in Eukaryota, Metazoa, Chordata, Mammalia, Carnivora, Canidae. The transcript is spliced from 9 exons. The record is from RefSeq and is a predicted model, not a curated record.
GGCUGCGAGGCGCUGGCCUCCCGGGCGCGGGGGUCGCCGCGGGGCGCGUCGGUGUCGUCCGCGGCCCUCGGGUCGCGCGGCUGCCCCCGGACCGCUUAGUCCCAAGCCGGGUGCGGUUUCCUCUCCUGGAGGUGAAGCGGAGUGAGGGGGCCUGGGCCCUCGGACCAGGAAUGAAACAUGACUGAGGACUCUCAGAGAAACUUCCGUUCCGUAUAUUACGAGAAAGUGGGGUUUCGUGGAGUUGAAGAAAAGAAAUCACUGGAAAUUCUCCUAAAAGAUGACCGACUGGAUAUUGAGAAACUUUGUACUUUUAGUCAGAGGUUCCCUCUCCCAUCCAUGUACCGUGCACUGGUAUGGAAGGUGCUUUUAGGGAUCCUGCCUCCGCACCAUGAAUCCCAUGCCCAGGUGAUGAUGUAUCGCAAGGAGCAGUACUGUGAUGUGCUUCAUGCCCUGCACGUUGUUCGCUUUGUCAGCGAUGCCACACCUCAGGUUGAAGUCUAUCUCCGCAUGUAUCAGCUGGAGUCUGGAAAGUUGCCUCGAAGUCCCUCCUUUCCACUGGAGCCAGAAGAUGAAGUAUUUCUUGCCAUUGCCAAAGCCGUGGAAGAAAUGGUAGAGGAUAGUGUCGACUGUUACUGGAUCAUCCGAUGCUUUGUGAACCAACUAAACAACAAGUACCGGGAGUCUUUACCUCAGCUGCCAAAGGCUUUUGAACAGUACUUGAAUCUGGAAGAUAGCCGUUUGCUGAGUCAUCUGAAGACGUGUUCUGCGCUGUCCAGACUUCCUUACGAUCUCUGGUUCAAGAGGUGCUUCGCAGGGUGCUUGCCUGAAUCAAGUUUACAGAGACAUGUGUUGCUGGCAUUUGAGAGUCCUGGCCCUCCCCACAAGACUGUAUGAGGUAGUUGGGAGAAAAGGCAACAUGCAGAGAACAUCACAGGACAGUACAUGACUAAGCACAUAGAGUGUGAAACCAACUUUAAGAGGGUUUGGGAUAAAGUUGUAAGUGGAUCCUGUAAGAUCCUGGUUUUUGUAGCUGUGGAAAUUUUAUUAACCUUUAAAAUAAAAGUAAUGGCUCUGAACAAUGCAGAGAAGAUAACAAAGUUUCUGGAAAAUAUUCCUCAGGACAGCUCGGACGCGAUUGUGAGCAAGGCCAUCGACUUGUGGCACAAACACUGCGGGACCCCCGUGCACUCAGCCUGACCGCUCCUGAUGCGCAUGGCCUGCCAGGCCCAGUCACUAAACUUACCGAAAAUAGGGUUCUUGCUUUUGUGCCCAAAGCAUAAUUUUUUCCGAGUAAGAUUGGGUGGCAUAUCGUGGAGCAGCAUCUUGUGGUUCACAGAAGUACAAAGUUCAACUCUGAAUAGCAUUGAAAAGGGUUAUUCGAAAACACUUCCCCAUUUUCAAAACAGUUCAGGCAGGGAAGGCGGGCGCUUUGAUAGGCAGUGUAUAACCAAGCCUGUCCCGUUCCUCUCUAAUUAGCACCAAGCUCGUUACUUUCUAAGGCUAUUUCUGGAAUAAAGAACAACUUCCUUUUGUUGACAGCUCAGAUUCGGCUUUCCUUGAUGCAGUACUUGUUUAAAUCUAAGCUGUCUGGUUUCUGAGGCUUUGUCUUGCCAAAUAGGUUUCAAUAAAAAUCUUACAUUUUUCUUCUCUG